AUGCAUCCCUUGUACACCGGGGCCGCCACCAUGAUAGGUGAGAUCACCGUCGCUGUGUCCUUCAUCUCCAAGUUCCUCCACACCAAAGGGCUCACGAGCGAGCGACAGCUGCAGACCUUCAGCCAGAGCCUGUAGGAGCUGCUGGCAGAACAUUAUAAACAUCACUGGUUCCCAGGAAAGCCAUGCAAGAGAUCAGGUUACCGUAGUAUUCGCAUCAACCAUAAAAUGGAUCCUCCGAUUGGACAGGCAGCACAGCGGAUUGGACCGAGCAGUCAGGAGCUGUUCAGGCUUCUCCCAAGUGAACUCACGCUCUGUGUUGACCCCUGCGAAGUGUCCUACAGAAUUGGAGAGGAUGGCUCCAUCUGUGUGCUGUAUGAAGCCUCACCAGCAGGAGGUAGCACUCAAAACAGCACCAACGUGCAAAUGGUAGACAGCCGAAUCAGCUGUAAGGAGGAACUUCUCUUGGGCAGAAGGAGCCCUACCAAAAACUACAAUGUGAUGACUGUAUCAUGUUAAGAUAUAGUCUGUGGAUGGAUCAUCUUAUAAUGAUGGAUAAAUUUGAUUUUUGCUUUGGGUGGGCUCCUCUUGGGGAUGGAUUGUGGAAUUUAAACCAUGUCACAGCUAUGAAGAUCUGGCACAAGAUAGAGUGGUAAAAAAAAAAUUUUUUAAGUGACAGUGCCAUAGUUUGGACAGUACCUUUCAAUGAUUAAUUUUAAUAGCCUGUGAGUCCAAGUAAAUGAUCACUUUAUUUGCUAGGGAGGGAAGUCCUAGGGUGGUUUCAGUUUCUCCCAGACAUACCUGAAUUUUUACAUCAGUCCCUUUAAAGAAAAUCUGUAUUUCAAAGAACCUUUCUCUGCAGUAAAUCUCGCAGAGGAAUUUGCACUAUUACACUUAAAUUGUUACUGUUAACCUUUUUGGCAGCUCAAUAGGAAAGCUGAACGUUUUAAACAUGGUAGUACUGGAAAUUUUACGACAAGACUUUUACCUAGCACUUAAAUAUGUAUAAAUGUAUAUAAAAACAAACUAGUAAGCAUGACCUGGGGAAAUGGUCAGACCUUGUAUUGUGUUUUUGUCCUUGAAAGUAGCAAGUGACCAGAAUCUGCCAUGGCAACAGGCUUU
Non-coding RNA from Chlorocebus sabaeus (green monkey), 1119 nucleotides. NCBI's taxonomy places the organism in Eukaryota, Metazoa, Chordata, Mammalia, Primates, Cercopithecidae. The record is from RefSeq and is a predicted model, not a curated record.